GCACAAGCGGUGGAGUAUGUGGUUUAAUUCGAUGCAACGCGAAGAACUUACCUGGUCUUGACAUCCCGGAGACCCUUAGGAAACUAGGGGUGCUUCCAUCUGGAAGAAUCUGGAGACAGGUGCUGCAUGGCUGUCGUCAGCUCGUGUCGUGAGAUGUUGGGUUAAGUCCCGCAACGAGCGCAACCCUUGCCUUUAGUUGCCAGCAGUUCGGCUGGGCACUCUAAAGGGACUGCCGGUGUUAAACCGGAGGAAGGUGGGGAUGACGUCAAGUCCUCAUGGCCUUUAUGACCAGGGCUACACACGUACUACAAUGGCCGAUACAAAGGGCAGCGACACUGCGAGGUGAAGCCAAUCCCGUAAAAUCGGUCUCAGUCCGGAUUGGAGUCUGCAACUCGACUCCAUGAAGUUGGAAUCGCUAGUAAUCGUGGAUCAGCAUGCCACGGUGAAUACGUUCCCGGGCCUU
Molecule: ribosomal RNA, 463 nt
Filed under: uncultured Desulfobulbus sp.
Lineage: Bacteria; Pseudomonadati; Thermodesulfobacteriota; Desulfobulbia; Desulfobulbales; Desulfobulbaceae
Description: bacterial SSU rRNA
Rfam family: Bacterial small subunit ribosomal RNA
Source: RNAcentral